This 77-nucleotide transfer RNA is filed under the name Acaryochloris thomasi RCC1774. RNAcentral describes it as "Acaryochloris sp. RCC1774 tRNA-Met". The record is from RNAcentral. Lineage: Bacteria; Bacillati; Cyanobacteriota; Cyanophyceae; Acaryochloridales; Acaryochloridaceae.
GGCGGAGAUGGAGAAAGAGAGGCUCGGCAGUCUCAUAAGCUGCACAUCUGUGAGUGCAACUCUCACCUCCGCUACCA